GAUCAAGAACGCAGCAAAAUGCGAUAAGUAAUGUGAAUUGCAGAAUUCAGUGAAUCAUCGAAUCUUUGAACGCACAUUGCGCCCGCCAGUAUUCUGGCGGGCAUGCCUGUUCGAGCGUCAUUUCAACCCUCAAGCACAGCUUGGUGUUGGGACUCGCGUUAAUUCGCGUUCCCCAAAUUGAUUGGCGGUCACGUCGAGCUUCCAUAGCGUAGUAGUAAAACCCUCGUUACUGGUAAUCGUCGCGGCCACGCCGUUAAACCCCAACUUCUGAAUGUUGACCUCGGAUCAGGUAGGAAUACCCGCUGAACUUAAGCAUAUCAAUAAGCGGAGGA
This 332-nucleotide unclassified non-coding RNA is filed under the name soil metagenome. RNAcentral describes it as "partial contains 5.8S ribosomal RNA, internal transcribed spacer 2, and large subunit ribosomal RNA". The stretch from base 1 to 120 matches the Rfam family "5.8S ribosomal RNA", at positions 35 to 154 of the family's 154-position model. The record is from RNAcentral.